GUGCUUGCUUUGGCAGCACAUAUACUAAAAUUGGAAUGAUACAGAGAAGAUUAGCAUGGCCCCUAUGCAAGGAUGACAUGCAAAUUCGUGAAGGGUAAAAGAAAUGU
Tupaia belangeri (northern tree shrew) is the source of this 107-nucleotide small nuclear RNA. The record is from Ensembl. NCBI's taxonomy places the organism in Eukaryota, Metazoa, Chordata, Mammalia, Scandentia, Tupaiidae.